Molecule: non-coding RNA, 135 nt
Organism: Ornithorhynchus anatinus (platypus)
Lineage: Eukaryota; Metazoa; Chordata; Mammalia; Monotremata; Ornithorhynchidae
Source: RefSeq, marked provisional
CACUGGUUAGUCUCUUGACAUCCAGGAUGAUUUAGGUGCCAGAGAGAGAAGCGAUAGUCUACACCUCCUCCUCUCUCCACCACCUAAAUGAAUCUGGUUGUUACAGCAACAUCAGAGGGGAGAGAUGGAGCCAGG